This 497-nucleotide ribosomal RNA is filed under the name uncultured bacterium. Its description in RNAcentral is "partial 16S ribosomal RNA". It matches the Rfam family "Bacterial small subunit ribosomal RNA", at positions 31 to 507 of the family's 1533-position model. The record is from RNAcentral.
GAAGAAAGCUGGCGGCGUGCCUAAUACAUGCAAGUUGAGCGCUGAAGGUUGGUACUUGUACCAACUGGAUGAGCAGCGAACGGGUGAGUAACGCGUGGGGAAUCUGCCUUUGAGCGGGGGACAACAUUUGGAAACGAAUGCUAAUACCGCAUAAAAACUUUAAACACAAGUUUUAAGUUUGAAAGAUGCAAUUGCAUCACUCAAGGAUGAUCCCGCGUUGUAUUAGCUAGUUGGUGAGGUAAAGGCUCACCAAGGCGAUGAUACAUAGCCGACCUGAGAGGGUGAUCGGCCACAUUGGGACUGAGACACGGCCCAAACUCCUACGGGAGGCAGCAGUAGGGAAUCUUCGGCAAUGGACGAAAGUCUGACCGAGCAACGCCGCGUGAGUGAAGAAGGUUUUCGGAUCGUAAAACUCUGUUGGUAGAGAAGAACGUUGGUGAGAGUGGAAAGCUCAUCAAGUGACGGUAACUACCCAGAAAGGGACGGCUAACUACGUG